This 762-nucleotide ribosomal RNA is filed under the name uncultured bacterium. RNAcentral describes it as "bacterial SSU rRNA". It matches the Rfam family "Bacterial small subunit ribosomal RNA", at positions 66 to 839 of the family's 1533-position model. The record is from RNAcentral.
AUGCGAUUUCGGUCAAAUCAUGUGGCAUUCGAGUGGCGGACGGGUGAGUAACGCGUGGGUAACCUGCCUUACACAGGGGGAUAACACCUGGAAACAGGUGCUAAUACCGCAUAAGCGCACAGGGCCGCAUGGCCCGGUGUGAAAAACUCCGGUGGUGUAAGAUGGACCCGCGUCUGAUUAGCUUGUUGGCGGGGUAGGGGCCCACCAAGGCGACGAUCAGUAGCCGGCCUGAGAGGGUGGACGGCCACAUUGGGACUGAGACACGGCCCAAACUCCUACGGGAGGCAGCAGUGGGGGAUAUUGGACAAUGGGGGAAACCCUGAUCCAGCGACGCCGCGUGAGUGAAGAAGUAUUUCGGUAUGUAAAGCUCUGUCAGCAGGGAAGAAAGAAAUGACGGUACCUGACCAAGAAGCCCCGGCUAACUACGUGCCAGCAGCCGCGGUAAUACGUAGGGGGCAAGCGUUAUCCGGAAUUACUGGGUGUAAAGGGAGCGUAGACGGUGAUGCAAGUCUGGAGUGAAAGGCGGGGGCCCAACCCCCGGACUGCUCUGGAAACUGUGUAACUUGAGUGCAGGAGAGGUAAGCGGAAUUCCUAGUGUAGCGGUGAAAUGCGUAGAUAUUAGGAGGAACACCAGCGGCGAAGGCGGCUUACUGGACUGUAACUGACGUUGAGGCUCGAAAGCGUGGGGAGCAAACAGGAUUAGAUACCCUGGUAGUCCACGCCGUAAACGAUGAUUACUAGGUGUCGGUGGGUAUGGACCCA